CAGUCGCCACGGUAAUACAGAGGGUGCAAGCGUUAAUCGGAAUUACUGGGCGUAAAGCGCGCGUAGGUGGUUUGUUAAGUUGGAUGUGAAAUCCCCGGGCUCAACCUGGGAACUGCAUCCAAAACUGGCAAGCUAGAGUAUGGUAGAGGGUGGUGGAAUUUCCUGUGUAGCGGUGAAAUGCGUAGAUAUAGGAAGGAACACCAGUGGCGAAGGCGACCACCUGGACUGAUACUGACACUGAGGUGCGAAAGCGUGGGGAGCAAACAGGAUUAGAUACCCCUGUAGUCCCUGUCUCUUAUAU
This 301-nucleotide ribosomal RNA is filed under the name uncultured bacterium. RNAcentral's name for it is "partial 16S ribosomal RNA". It matches the Rfam family "Bacterial small subunit ribosomal RNA", at positions 509 to 809 of the family's 1533-position model. The record is from RNAcentral.